This 253-nucleotide ribosomal RNA is filed under the name uncultured Aquicella sp. Its description in RNAcentral is "partial 16S ribosomal RNA". It matches the Rfam family "Bacterial small subunit ribosomal RNA", at positions 524 to 776 of the family's 1533-position model. The record is from RNAcentral. Lineage: Bacteria; Pseudomonadati; Pseudomonadota; Gammaproteobacteria; Legionellales; Coxiellaceae.
UACAGAGGGUGCGAGCGUUAAUCGGAGUUACUGGGCGUAAAGGGCGCGUAGGCGGUUAGGAAGGUGUGAUGUGAAAGCCCUGGGCUUAACCUAGGAAGUGCAUCGCAAACCACCAAACUGGAGUAUAGGAGAGGGUGGCGGAAUUUCCGGUGUAGCGGUGAAAUGCGUAGAGAUCGGAAGGAACGUCGAUGGCGAAGGCAGCCACCUGGCCUAAUACUGACGCUGAGGCGCGAAAGCGUGGGGAGCAAACAGG